CUCCCCCCGCCCUCCAGCCGCCCAAGAUGGCCGCCGCCGCGCCUCACCGCCCGGAAGUGACGGCUCCUCUGCUCUCCCAGCUACUGGAGUCUUCUGGACAGCAGCCACCACUCCACCCCAAAGAGAGGUGUCUCCUCAUGCCGCCUGAUGGAAAAAGAGAGGCAUCAGAGGAGGGAGAAAAGGAAGGAAAGAGGGACAGAGGCCAGAGUUGCCUGCGGCAUCCCUUCAUUCAAAGCACUCCAGGGUGCCAUGCUGAAAACCCCUGGACUAGGGGUCAGACAUGGCUGCAGUCUUGCUCUCUGUCCUAUUUUAGAUCACUUUUAUUUGGUGGUAUAUUUGGCAUUCCAGAAAACAGGGCAGGUGCUGUUUGUUUUGUAUGCCCUUGAAGAGACUGAAUAAAAAUUAUUAUUAUUAUUAUUAAGAAUAUUAAAGUAUAAAAAUAAAAAACUCAGCCAAAGGGCGGGGUAUAAAUAAUAAUUUAUUAUUAAUUAUUCUUAUUAACAUACAUCCAUAAAUGACAAGUGUCAUGGCUAAAGCAAUUAAAGUGUUAAAAUACUGA
Molecule: non-coding RNA, 559 nt
Organism: Podarcis muralis (Common wall lizard)
Lineage: Eukaryota; Metazoa; Chordata; Lepidosauria; Squamata; Lacertidae
Source: RefSeq, a predicted model, not a curated record